This 234-nucleotide ribosomal RNA is filed under the name uncultured bacterium. RNAcentral describes it as "partial 16S ribosomal RNA". It matches the Rfam family "Bacterial small subunit ribosomal RNA", at positions 122 to 354 of the family's 1533-position model. The record is from RNAcentral.
CAAUCUGCCUUGGAGUGGGGAAUAACGGCUGGAAACAGCCGCUAAUACCGCAUGAUACAGCUGGGAGGCAUCUCCCUGGCUGUCAAAGAUUUAUCGCUCUAGAGAUGAGCUCGCGUCUGAUUAGCUAGUUGGCGGGGUAACGGCCCACCAAGGCGACGAUCAGUAGCCGGACUGAGAGGUUGGCCGGCCACAUUGGGACUGAGACACGGCCCAGACUCCUACGGAAGGCAGCAG